GGCAGAGGUGCGAUUUAAUUGGCGAAUCGGAAAGUCCAAACAACAUGUUGGUAUCUGGUGGGCCCAUCGUAGCGUUGGAGUGGGAAGAGAUGCAAGUAUAAGUGUUGCCUCUUUGUGCAUGCCUUGGAGAGCAGAGGCCGGUGAUUCCACGGCCACACACAGAGAGAUUGAUACAGAAGAUAGAGAAGACCUGAGCUUUCUUUGAUUCUUUGCUUCUUCUUCUUCUUCGUCUUCUAAUACUACCAGGUACUCUAUUCCUUUUGCUUCUUCGUUCCUUCUUGUAUCCAGCAUUUUCCUCUUCUAGAUUUCCUUUUUAACUUGCAUUUUCUGUUGGAUUCCAUUUAAUUUUGUCGAAAAUUUGUGUGAAAUUCACCUCAAAGUGUGUUUUUCUCUGUAAUGUAACUCAGAUCCAGGCGAGAGAGAUUAAUUUUUGUUUUACUUGGUAUAACUUUCUUCGAUCUUCUCUUUCGAGCUUAGAUUUGAUUUUUUUUUUAUUUUCUUAAAAACUAAAUUUCAGAGAAUUCCCUGCCGUUCCUUUUCCACAUUGAUUUUUUUUUUGGUUAACCUUUCCUCUGUUAUCGAGGCUUUACCUGUUGGAUCUGUUGUCCCAUCUAUUCCGUCAUUUUCUGUAGGCCUGUCAAGUGCUCACGUGAUCUCAGGCUUAGUGCUCUUUGGGUUUUCUCUCUCUUUCUUUUUUAAUUCAAAUUCAAAUCUUUUCUGUGAGGUUUGGUAUGAUGCUCUCAUUUUUCUAAUAUUUUUGUAAUGAAUUUUGUUUAAUUCUAAUCUUAUUAUAUUGCGUUUGGCGUUGUUUAUUUUGUGAUUAAUUAAAUAAACUCUGAUGGCGGCUUUGUUUUGUUAACAACCUUUAUACGGCUUCUUGAUUUAAUACAUGAAAAUGUUGUUUGCUAACGCCGUGUUUGUACGGAUAGAAAAUAAGAGGGAAAAGAAAAUUUGAGAAAGAAAAUAAUUUUAUUUUUUAUUAUUUUAUAUUUAAAUUAAUAAAAAAAUAAAGAGGAAAAAAAUUUAAGAGAAAAAUA
This 1037-nucleotide unclassified non-coding RNA is filed under the name Hevea brasiliensis (rubber tree). Lineage: Eukaryota; Viridiplantae; Streptophyta; Magnoliopsida; Malpighiales; Euphorbiaceae. The record is from RNAcentral.